This 253-nucleotide ribosomal RNA is filed under the name uncultured bacterium. Its description in RNAcentral is "partial 16S ribosomal RNA". It matches the Rfam family "Bacterial small subunit ribosomal RNA", at positions 524 to 776 of the family's 1533-position model. The record is from RNAcentral.
UACGUAGGGUGCGAGCGUUGUCCGGAAUUAUUGGGCGUAAAGGCUCGUAGGCGGUCUGUCACGUCGGGAGUGAAAACACGGGGCUUAACCCCGUGCCUGCUUCCGAUACGGGGCAGACUAGAGGUAUGCAGGGGAGAACGGAAUUCCUGGUGUAGCGGUGAAAUGCGCAGAUAUCAGGAGGAACACCGGUGGCGAAGGCGGUUCUCUGGGCAUUACCUGACGCUGAGGAGCGAAAGUGUGGGGAGCGAACAGG